UACGGGGGGAGCAAGCGUUGUUCGGAUUUACUGGGCGUAAAGGGCGCGUAGGCGGCCACUGCAAGUCAGUUGUGAAAUCUCCGGGCUUAACCCGGAAAGGUCAACUGAUACUGCAGGGCUAGAGUGCAGAAGGGGCAACUGGAAUUCUCGGUGUAGCGGUGAAAUGCGUAGAUAUCGAGAGGAACACCUGCGGCGAAGGCGGGUUGCUGGGCUGACACUGACGCUGAGGCGCGAAAGCGUGGGGAGCAAACGGG
Molecule: ribosomal RNA, 254 nt
Filed under: uncultured bacterium
Lineage: Bacteria
Description: partial 16S ribosomal RNA
Rfam family: Bacterial small subunit ribosomal RNA
Source: RNAcentral